CCUACGGGUGGCAGCAGUAGGGAAUAUUGCUCAAUGGGGGAAACCCUGAAGCAGCAACGCCGCGUGGAGGAUGAAGGCUUUAGGAUUGUAAACCUCUUUUGUUAGGGAAGAUAAUGACGGUAUCUAACGAAUAAGCACCGGCUAACUCCGUGCCAGCAGCCGCGGUAAUACGGAGGGUGCAAGCGUUAUUCGGAAUCACUGGGCGUAAAGGGUGCGUAGGCGGGGUAAUAAGUCAGAUGGGAAAUCCUGUAGCUUAACUCCAGGACUGCAUUUGAAACUGUUACUCUGGAGUGUAGGAGAGGUAGGUGGAAUUCUUGGUGUAGCGGUGAAAUCCGUAGAGAUCAAGAGGAACACCCAUUGCGAAGGCGGCCUGCUGGAACAUUACUGACGCUGAGGCACGAAAGCGUGGGGAGCAAACAGGAUUAGAUACCCUAGUAGUC
Molecule: ribosomal RNA, 440 nt
Filed under: uncultured bacterium
Lineage: Bacteria
Description: partial 16S ribosomal RNA
Rfam family: Bacterial small subunit ribosomal RNA
Source: RNAcentral